AUUGAACGCUGGCGGCAGGCCUAACACAUGCCAGUCGAGCGGAUGAAGGGAGCUUGCUCCUGGAUUCAGCGGCGGACGGGUGAGUAAUGCCUAGGAAUCUGCCUGGUAGUGGGGGAUAACGUCCGGAAACGGGCGCUAAUACCGCAUACGUCCUGAGGGAGAAAGUGGGGGAUCUUCGGACCUCACGCUAUCAGAUGAGCCUAGGUCGGAUUAGCUAGUUGGUGGGGUAAAGGCCUACCAAGGCGACGAUCCGUAACUGGUCUGAGAGGAUGAUCAGUCACACUGGAACUGAGACAUGGUCCAGACUCCUACGGGAGGCAGCAGUGGGGAAUAUUGGACAAUGGGCGAAAGCCUGAUCCAGCCAUGCCGCGUGUGUGAAGAAGGUCUUCGGAUUGUAAAGCACUUUAAGUUGGGAGGAAGGGCAGUAAGUUAAUACCUUGCUGUUUUGACGUUACCAACAGAAUAAGCACCGGCUAACUUCGUG
RNAcentral lists this ribosomal RNA (484 nucleotides) under uncultured bacterium. RNAcentral's name for it is "partial 16S ribosomal RNA". It matches the Rfam family "Bacterial small subunit ribosomal RNA", at positions 30 to 507 of the family's 1533-position model. The record is from RNAcentral.